GACGAACCGUACGAACGUUAUUCGGAAUCACUGGGCUUAAAGGGUGCGUAGGCGGUCCGGUAAGUCGAGUGUGAAAUCCCUCAGCUCAACUGAGGAAUUGCGCCCGAAACUGUCGGACUUGAGGGAGACAGAGGUGAGCGGAACUUAGGGUGGAGCGGUGAAAUGCGUUGAUAUCCUAAGGAACACCAGGGGCGAAAGCGGCUCACUGGGUCUCUUCUGACGCUGAGGCACGAAAGCUAGGGGAGCGAACGGG
Molecule: ribosomal RNA, 253 nt
Filed under: uncultured bacterium
Lineage: Bacteria
Description: partial 16S ribosomal RNA
Rfam family: Bacterial small subunit ribosomal RNA
Source: RNAcentral